This 427-nucleotide ribosomal RNA is filed under the name uncultured bacterium. Its description in RNAcentral is "partial 16S ribosomal RNA". It matches the Rfam family "Bacterial small subunit ribosomal RNA", at positions 354 to 796 of the family's 1533-position model. The record is from RNAcentral.
GUGAGGAAUAUUGCACAAUGGGCGAAAGCCUGAUGCAGCAACGCCGCGUGAGUGAUGAAGGCCUUUGGGUCGUAAAACUCUGUCCUUGGGGAAGAAAAAAAUGACGGUACCCUUGGAGGAAGCCCCGGCUAACUACGUGCCAGCAGCCGCGGUAAUACGUAGGGGGCAAGCGUUAUCCGGAAUUAUUGGGCGUAAAGAGUGCGUAGGUGGUUUUGUAAGCGUAGGGUGAAAGGCAGUAGCUCAACUAUUGUUAGCCCUGCGAACUGUGAGACUUGAGUGCAGGAGAGGAAAGUGGAAGUCCUAGUGUAGCGGUGAAAUGCGUAGAUAUUAGGAGGAACACCAGUGGCGAAGGUGACUUUCUGGACUGUAACUGACACUGAGGCACGAAAGCGUGGGUAGCAAACAGGAUUAGAAACCCGAGUAGUCC